Long non-coding RNA from Rosa rugosa (rugosa rose), 2373 nucleotides. RefSeq lists it as uncharacterized. The record is from RefSeq and is a predicted model, not a curated record. NCBI's taxonomy places the organism in Eukaryota, Viridiplantae, Streptophyta, Magnoliopsida, Rosales, Rosaceae. The transcript has 6 exons.
AGACCACACUGAUCGAGAGAAAGAGAGAGAGAGCGAGAGAGAGAGAAACAGAUAGUUUGGAUGGGGUUUCAAUAGAGAGAGAGAGAGAGAGCGACUGUUUCUUUGCGUGCAGAGACAAAGAGAGAGUAGAAAGCAGAAGACGAGAAAUCAGUUUCGGAGGAGGUGUGUGCCAAAGAUUUUAAUCGGUUUUGGGAGGGAGAGUUCAGCAAAAAUUUGGGAGAAGACCUGAACUAUCACCAAAAGCUUGGGAGCUUUCAGCAAAAGUUGCCAAGAUUGUGGGAGCGACUCCCAUUGUUACAGAAGAUCACACUCAGCCAUCAAAAUCAACAGCAGCAAACACUUGUCUAUGCUCUAGCUUUUCAAUAGCUCCGAGAACCAAACUUUUUUUACACUCUCAGAGAGAAAGAUUGGGUUGGGAACAAAUAGAAAAGAGAUAUGAUAUGCUAGAGUUUAUAUAUGAUUACUACUACAUGAAAUUGUUGUGGCUUUGAAACCCCCAGGCCUGAGUUUUCAGGGAGGAUACCUGAGAGCUGAUAAAGAGAAAGCUAUAUUAGGCUUAUCGUGGACAUGUUGAAAAUUGUUGAAGGGAUGAAGUCAUUCAGUCUCCGAUCAAUAUGCAAACACUUGAGAUGCUGGAGAAGGAGGAAAAGCUCCUUGGCAGCGUUGUAAUAAAGAAACAGGACUGUUUCUAUGAGUCGCAUUUGUAAUUGAUUGGGGGUUCUUCAAAAUUGAAUCCUAAAGACGGUCUAGAGACGAAGGGGGAGACUCUUGGUGGAUUGGGUGUGUACUGAAAAUGGAGCAGGCCAACCAGAGGUGAGCUAGGUUUUGAGUUCUUGGUGAAUAGGAGUGGGCAGCCUUAUCUGAUUCAGACAAAUACCUUAAUCAGGUUGCUAUUCUUGAAGAAGGUGUGUCAUUGCAAGCCAAACUUUGAAAUAGGUAUAUGCUUAAGUUCAAACAUCCUCUAUUUUUGUUAAAUUUGUGCUCUUCCUUCUGACCUCAAAUGAGUCUCUUUUCUUAGAUUUAGUAACUCUCAGGAACAGAUUUUUCAUUUCUUUGUUUUUGAUUGCAUAUUCAUGUUCUUCAAUUCUGGAUCUUUAGGUUACGGGUUUGUUUCUGCAAAUUGAACCUCUUAAGUGCAAAAACUACUACACAUCAUCAAGUAUUUGAAUGAUGAAAGGACCAAAAAUAAAUGGCCCAUCCCUUUGCUGCAACUCUUGCCCUGAACGUUGUAAAAUACACUCCAUUGUUUUCCCGACUACUCAGUCACUACCUUCCAGAUUCCUAUUUGUUCCAUUUCAUAACACAGUUGCCAUUUGUUCUUAGUUUACAUUGAGUUACUCUCUCCCUCAUUUUACUUCAUUGUCAGUUUCUGCCCCCAACACAUCGAGCCUGUCAUUAACUUUGUAUCAUAUAUAGCUAAUUAAUAAACACUAAGACCACCUUGAACAAUCAAUGACAACCAAGGAAGAAGAUUCAAGGCUCUCUGACCUUCAGCUAGCCCGCACAAAUCUGUCAUAUUUGGCACAACAAACCACUUAUCUUAAUCUUAAUGUUGGUGAGACCUCAUGUUUUUAUGUAUCAAAUUAUAAUAUGAACAUUAUUGGUGUAUGUGACAGAAUAUAACAGUCGCAUAUUGCACGGUUCAAGAUGCUCUUUCAUAUAUUGGCAUCUUUCUGCUCCUUCACAUAGACAAGCAUAUGUUUAUGUGGAACUUCUCUUUUCGUUUUGUUGUUUUAAAAUUGAUAUGACUAUGGAGCUUCUGGUGAUAAUGGGUGUUACUAACUAUAUAUCACUGCAUUAAACUACUUUGAAUCUGAGAUGGUAUAGGAGCAGAUUGCAAAGUUGGAGUUUAAUUAAUCAGUCUCAAGUGCAGCUUCAAAUAUCUUUUGAACUUGGUAAAAAUUGAAACCAACAAGAAGGAGACAGAUUAGAUUAACAAUUACUUUGGAUUUACUUUCUAAUUUGAGUCGCACACUAUUUCUCCAUUUACAGGUACUGCUGGUAGAAACAUUCACAAUCAGGAAGAAUUUCCAGGUCGUACAAUGGCAAUUAUUUUAAGUGUUUCUGCAAAUUUAACUCUCGAUUUCUCAAAUUUCUUUGUUUUGUUUUUGAGCUAGAAUAGAAGGAAAGUGCAAUAAUGAGCUAGGGGAAUCCCAACAGAAAGAAACAACCAUCCUAUACAACAUGAAUUUUAGUCAUGAGCAAACUGAUUGUUGAAAAGUGAUUAUGUCUCAGCACUGUAUUAGAUUCUCCCAUAUUUCCUGAGGUUUACCACAAUCAACAAUCAAAUUUUAGUACACUUUUUUUUUUUUUUUUGAAGUUUUGUAUUUUCAUUUUUUAUGUUAUUACCUAAUUGUGCAAUGUUCGUUUUCC